RNAcentral lists this ribosomal RNA (253 nucleotides) under uncultured bacterium. RNAcentral's name for it is "partial 16S ribosomal RNA". It matches the Rfam family "Bacterial small subunit ribosomal RNA", at positions 524 to 776 of the family's 1533-position model. The record is from RNAcentral.
GACAGAGGGGGCAAGCGUUGCUCGGAAUCACUGGGCGUAAAGGGCGCGUAGGCGGGAUGGCAAGUCGGUCGUGAAAUCCUUCGGCUCAACCGAAGAACGUCGAUCGAUACUGCUGUUCUUGAGGGUUGCAGAGGAGACUGGAAUUCCCGGUGUAGCGGUGAAAUGUGUAGAGAUCGGGAGGAACACCGGUGGCGAAGGCGGGUCUCUGGGCAAUUCCUGACGCUGAGGCGCGAAAGCGUGGGGAGCAAACGGG